CCUACGGGAGGCUGCAGUGGGGAAUAUUGGACAAUGGGGGGAACCCUGAUCCAGCCAUGCCGCGUGUGUGAAGAAGGCCCUCGGGUUGUAAAGCACUUUCAGUGAGGAAGAACGCCUGGUGGUUAAUACCCAUCAGGAAAGACAUCACUCACAGAAGAAGCACCGGCUAACUCCGUGCCAGCAGCCGCGGUAAUACGGAGGGUGCGAGCGUUAAUCGGAAUUACUGGGCGUAAAGCGCGCGUAGGUGGCUUGAUAAGCCGGUUGUGAAAGCCCCGGGCUCAACCUGGGAACGGCAUCCGGAACUGUCAAGCUAGAGUGCAGGAGAGGAAGGUAGAAUUCCCGGUGUAGCGGUGAAAUGCGUAGAGAUCGGGAGGAAUACCAGUGGCGAAGGCGGCCUUCUGGACUGACACUGACACUGAGGUGCGAAAGCGUGGGUAGCAAACAGGAUUAGACACCCGAGUAGUC
Molecule: ribosomal RNA, 465 nt
Filed under: Vreelandella stevensii
Lineage: Bacteria; Pseudomonadati; Pseudomonadota; Gammaproteobacteria; Oceanospirillales; Halomonadaceae
Description: partial 16S ribosomal RNA
Rfam family: Bacterial small subunit ribosomal RNA
Source: RNAcentral